GUCUCUCUUGUAGAGAGAGGGCUAACGAGAACCACGGGAUCCGGAAACCUCAUACGUUGCAGAAUCUGAUAAAUCCCACACAAGACACCUGCAUGUCCCCACAGCACAAGAUUCGGCCUCUUCCACAAGACAAAGUAUCUGCGCAGUCAUAUGAAGAAGGCAAGUGCCGAUUUGAAGUAGCACUAGGGCUCGAUACAUGAUUGUGCAGAAUUAGGGUUCAUGCUGUCUGAUCCAUAAUUUGAGACCCAAAUUGACGACUGGUGGGGCUUUGAUUUCGGAAUGCGCGGGUAACUCUGUGAGAUGGCUUUAUCGCUCUUCGUCGUGGUCUGCAUCCUCCACUCGGCGAUCGCCCUGACCACGGGCGUUCUGAUGGUGUUCUUCAUGGAGGAGAUCUACACCUUCACGCACGGCACGGUGGCGGCCAAGAAGAUGCUUGGCUCGACGCCGGAGGCCCAGCUCCUGAUCCGAACCUCCGAUUCGUUCUCCGGCUUGCUACUGUUCGCGAUCGGGUUGCUCCUCUUUAUGGUGGCCUUCGUUAAGGACCGAGAUUUCCAGAGCUUCUUCGCCAAGGGGUGUGUGUUGCUUCACGUUUCCAUGGCGAUUUGGAGGUUUAAUUUCGAGAGGAGGGUCGAGGAUUUGGCUUGGGAUUGGCUCAGGCAAAUUGUCGGCGACAUCUUGCUUGCUCUUUCGUGGGUUUUCUUUCUUGUCUAUUCUUGGAAAGUUAAGUAUGACUAAUUUGGCAAGAUUAAGAUGGCUGUGGAUUUGGGAAAAAUGCUGGAAUCGUAGUUCUUGGCAUUUAGUAUGGGAAUGAAAUUCAUAGAGUUAUUGAGAUGCUAGAUGCGUACAUGGCUUAUGGCUUGCUUCAAGUGCUGCUCCUUUAAGUAUAUUUUACUCUGAAGAAAAGAAUCAAUGAGUUGUUGAAGUAGUUAUGUACAGGAGGGUCUUUGUAAAGUUCCUGAUUUUAUGAUAAUGUGAUGAAUUAUUUUUUGUUUAUGCGGAAUUGAUGUUGUAGGGUGUAUUUGUGUUUUUUCAAUUCAAGGUUGUUUCUGAAAGAUGUCUAUGGCAAUACGAAAAUAUUGCCUUCUAUGGAGGUUGGAAGAUAGAUGGGGUGUUAUGGUACUGCAUUGAUAUUCUGGACCUUCAUCUUCAGAUCUGUUGCUAUUAUUAUGUUUGUGGUGAUUUUUUCAGAAAUGAGGGCGGUGACUUUGGUCUCACUUGACUGCAUUCUUUGGCAGCUCAAAGCCUAAAUUUAGGUGAUUGCUAAUUUAUCGCCGUAUUUCAAAUGAUCUGAAGGGCUGGCAAGCAGAAAUGUGCAUGGCAGGAUCUAUCAACGCCCUCACUACUGUCAAAUAAUUCAUCCAGUCCUAGAGCCACUCUACCAGUUCAAUUCUUGAAAAAGUCUUUCAAGGCCAAAAGGAUGGCGAAUUGAAAUCACACAAAUAUAGGCCUGUUUGGACGGGAGGAAGGAGAUGCGAAGGACACAAGAAUAUGACAGAGAUCUUAAAUGAUGACAUGCGCCAGGCAUAUCCAAAGAGGAAAAGUGGGGAGGUAGUUGAGGCACACGCAGAUGCAGCGGAUGCAUAGAUUCAGAGGGAGUGGUGAGGUUUCUAUUGGCUCGUUGCAGUACAGGUGGAGCCUGCUUGGUCAUCGCUAAUCCCUCAAAGAAAGAUGAGCUCGGCAAAGGCAGGGCAAAAGAGCAAGCAGUCUGGCUAAAACUGAACAUCCAUUGGGCUCCACUAUGGCUUGUCCUCUGGUUGAAGAGGUCAUUCAGCUGGAUUACAAGGCUGAGAGGUUCCUUGUAGCUUGCACCCCUGUGGCUGUGAAAUAUUGCCCCAUGAAUUGAUAUAACCUGAGGCUUCUCUUCUGCUCGAAGAUUGACAAGAAAUUGAUAUUUUCCUCUGCUGCUGGAAGAAGAUUUCUUCUUGUUACUGAAGCCUUAUCAUACCUUGUUCCACAAAUUUGAAGAGUCCUAUGUUAGGCCAACAGGGAUGAACCAUCCUCGUACAAAGCUACCUUUUCACCUGGGUGUUGGUUAUGGGUACUCAGGAGACAUCAUAUUAGUAGUCAAUGUGAUUGGGCUAGUUGGUUUGGGGUUUUUUAUAGCUUGGUUUAAGACUAUCCAGCCUACAACUCUGUUUUGGCCUGACAUAUAUAGAUAAUUGUCAAAAUUGUGUUAUUUAUUAAUAUGCUUUUACGCUAUUUUCUUUUGUAGUCUUGUAUUAGGCAUAACUGGGGAAACCAUCCUCAUAGAAAGCUUAACUUCAUAUGUUUUGUAGUCUCUGUUUCAUGUUUGGAU
Diospyros lotus (date-plum) is the source of this 2296-nucleotide RNA transcript. RefSeq lists it as uncharacterized. The transcript has 4 exons. NCBI's taxonomy places the organism in Eukaryota, Viridiplantae, Streptophyta, Magnoliopsida, Ericales, Ebenaceae. The record is from RefSeq and is a predicted model, not a curated record.